RNAcentral lists this ribosomal RNA (528 nucleotides) under Triticum aestivum (bread wheat). RNAcentral's name for it is "partial small subunit ribosomal RNA". The record is from RNAcentral. Lineage: Eukaryota; Viridiplantae; Streptophyta; Magnoliopsida; Poales; Poaceae.
AUGGCGGUGGAGGUCGACGGCACCCGGAAGCACGGGGCAGUGGCCUUCCUGGACGACCCCUUCGAGGUGCUGCAGGCGAAGCGGGGCCGGUGCUCACCGUCCGCCACCGCGGCCUCGGUCGCCGACCUCGGCAUCAACAUGGAGUUCGACCCCGUCGAGGCGGUCCAGUCCGUCUUCCCCGGCGCCGAUCCGCAGCUUCUGCGGGGCUAUCUCGAAGCGUCCGGAAAUGUCUUGGAUGCUGCCAUCAGAAGCUUCAGGGAUUAUUUGGCAUCGGAUUCAGCAACGACCAAUGCUGGUGCCUCCUCAUCUGGAGUGGCAUCUGAUGUGCACGUGAUGAAUACUCCAGCCAACAGGACUGAAUGGGCGAAGCUAAUUGUCAAGAAGAUGUCGUCCGCUUCAGAUCCGAAUGACGCCAGGAAUCGAGUCUUCAGGAUACUUGAAAUGUUCGACAAAUGUGCCGCAAACUGCAGUACUCCUGAUGAGGCGCAUAAAAUGCGUGAGAUGAUUAUAGCAACUAUUUUGGGCUGA